This 753-nucleotide long non-coding RNA is filed under the name Salvia miltiorrhiza (redroot sage). RNAcentral describes it as "long non-coding RNA (SMIL_LNC000598)". The record is from RNAcentral. Lineage: Eukaryota; Viridiplantae; Streptophyta; Magnoliopsida; Lamiales; Lamiaceae.
UUAAAUACUUUUAUAGUAUUUCUAUUAUGUAUUACAAAUAUGUAUGAAUUAUUGGACCGUGCGUAGCGCGGGUACAAUACUAGUGAUGAUGUAACAACUAACAUGAGUAGGAGAGUAUAAAUUAGGUUAUGACAGUGAAACUUAUUAAGAAGCUUCUUAAUUGGCAUUCAAGCAUUAAUCGGAAUGACUGGAAUAGAGAAGUGUGGAUCCACUAACAUCAAUUGGAGCCCGGUUCUCGUCCCCCGGCCCGGCCCGUUUAAUGCUUUAGCUUUUCUCCAUAGGUAUGAUAAGGCAGCACAAACUCUCUCCUUUUUCUCUUCAAACUUGCUCUUAUGUUUUUGUCCCCGGCCAGCUUGCUUUUCUCCAAUCUUGCACCUUUUCAAUCCCAUCUAGUGUGUGUGUGUGUGUGUGUGAAGCAAAGAUAUAUCGAUAUAUAAAUGUGAUGAUAAUUAACAAUGAAUAAGUUGUGUGUGUAGCUUACCUCAUAUAUAGGAUUAAUUUUCCAUGUUUUAGAAAUGCAAUUUAAUCACGGUUGGACGAGAGAAUGAAAGUCAAAAGAUGAGAUUGGAGCAAUGAGCUUGAUCUUUAAUUUUAAUUUAUGUUAAGAUAAGAUUGAGAAGGCUGUCUUUGAGAGUGUGAUUGUGUGGUUAUGAAGUCUACUCUUAUUUAGGGCUUUUAUAGAAGUUUGUGAUGUUGUACUAAUCAAGAACGUACGAGGGUGGUUGCUAUCAUUAAAAAGGUGGUCCUUUUUUU